AACGAACGCUGGCGGCAUGCCUAACACAUGCAAGUCGAACGAGACCUUCCGGCUUGCUGGCGAACGGGGUCGUAACGCGUGGGAUCAUGCCCUUAGGUUCGGAACAACUCCUCGAAAGGGGUGCUAAUACCUGGUAAUGUUUUCGGACCAAAGAUUUAUCGCCUUUGGUGGGGCCCGCGUUGGUUUAGCGAGGUGGUAGGGCAAAAGCCUACCAAGGCGACGAUCCGUAGCUGGUUUGUGAGGAUGAUCAGCGAAACUGGGACUGAGACACGGCCCAGACUCGUACGGGAGGUGGCAGUGGGGAAUAUUGGACCAUGGGCGAGAGGCUGAGCCAGCGAGGCCGGGUGGGUGAUGAAGGGGUUAGGGUUGUAAAGCUCUUUUAACCGGGAUGAUAAUGACGGUACCGGGAGAAUAAGCACCGGCUAACUCCGUG
This 433-nucleotide ribosomal RNA is filed under the name uncultured bacterium. RNAcentral describes it as "partial 16S ribosomal RNA". It matches the Rfam family "Bacterial small subunit ribosomal RNA", at positions 29 to 507 of the family's 1533-position model. The record is from RNAcentral.